Molecule: RNA transcript, 5342 nt
Organism: Phyllopteryx taeniolatus (common seadragon)
Lineage: Eukaryota; Metazoa; Chordata; Actinopteri; Syngnathiformes; Syngnathidae
Gene: aqp10a
Gene name: aquaporin 10a
Exons: 7
Source: RefSeq, a predicted model, not a curated record
AAGCUGGCUCUAGGGACGUGGAAUGUCACCUCUCUGGCAGGGAAGGAGCCGGAGCUGGUGUGUGAGGUCGAGAAGUUCCGACUAGAUAUAGUCGGACUCGCCUCCACAAACAGCUUGGGCUCUGGUACCAGUCCUCUUGAGAGGGGUUGGACUGUCUUCCACUCUGGAGUUAUGUAACUAGAUAGAUAUAGUUAUAUAAUUAACCCUUUUAAAAACAAGUCAUCACAAACAUCAUAAUGGCUAUAAAGGUGGUAGUCGUCUGUGUAGAAGAAAAAACUCCUUUCUAUGACUUUUCUGCAUGUUUGAUGUUGUCAGCAGCCAAUGGUGUGAAUGUAUGUGCUGUGCCGAGCUGGUAAAUGAUUGCUAGUGUUGGAGGAGCUGGACAGAAAAAGGGAGGAAGAGGCCAGUUGGAGAAGGAGAUGCUGCUUUUGGAAGUGGGGCCUGCUGACUUGGAAGCUCCCUGACGUCAUGUUGAAGCGCCGCGUCUUCCGAGUAAGGAAUGCUCUGCUGAGAGAGUGCAUGGCCGAGUUCUUGGGGACCUUUAUCUUGUUGCUUUUUGGCUGCUCGGCGGCAGCGCAAGUGAAGACCAGCAGGGAGACCAAAGGCCAGUUUUUGUCGGUCAACAUGUCCUUCUCAGUGGGCGUGAUGUCGGCCAUGUACCUCACCAAAGGCAUCACAGGGGCCCAUCUGAACCCGGCCGUAACGCUCAGUUUCUGUGUGUUGGGCCAGGUGCCAUGGAAGAGGAUGCUGCCCUAUUGGCUCUCCCAGGUUCUGGGAGCAUAUGUGGCAUCGGGGCUUGUCUACACGGUGUACUAUGAUGCUAUAAUGGAUUUUAGUGGCAGAGUAUUGACUGUGUAUGGACCAAAUGAGACGGCGUCCAUAUUUGCCACAUAUCCCUCUAAGUAUGUCACCUUGGGAAGGAGCUUCCUGGAUCAGGUAGUGGGCACCGGCAUGCUCAUGUUGUGCAUCCUAUGUUUGGAUGAGAAGAGGAAUACCCCGGCUCCCAGCGGGCUGAUUCCCGCCAUCGUGGCCGCGAUCGUGCUGGGCAUCUCCAUGUCCAUGUCGGGCAACUGUGGAGCGGCCAUAAAUCCCGCCCGUGAUCUGGGACCUCGACUUUUUACUCUGACUGCAGGCUGGGGCUCAGAAGUGUUCACGUGUUACAACUACUGGUUCUGGGUGCCUCUGGUGGCCCCCCUUCUUGGGGGUGUUUCAGGUUCUUUCCUCUAUUUAAUCUUCAUCCACUGGCACCUCCCCGACUCGGAUACACCCAAAGAUGUGGACACGCCCUCCAUUGCCAGCGACACAGUCAAGCAGCCCUCAAACAUGCAGCUGAAUGGCAUUGAGUUAAAGAAGUUGUCAUUUGAAGACGUUUACGGAAGACGCUAACAAGCAGACAUUUUUUCUGUCUUCAAGUUAGUAAGAAGACUUGUUGUUUUUUUUACAUCAUGCAUCAAUGAGGGGAAGCAGCGCAACAUCAUGGAUGAGUUUCUCAAGCAAGGAAGCAGGAAUAUGGAAAAGAAUGCAAGCUUUCCUCCCCCUCCCCUGCUCCAUCAUCAUCAUCUUCCUCAUCGUCGUCAUCAUCCAGCAUCUCCUCACAACAACUCACAACCUCAUGGUGACCUCAGACAGCGUGAGGAGCAGCGAGGAUGCCUCCACUGGACUCAUUUCACUAACACCAACUUUGAGGAGGUACAUUUGAUUCCGGCUGCCUGAGCUUUCAGUGGAUGAGGUUUUCCCUUUCAGCCUUCAUGUAUGAUUGUUUACACUUAUGUAGGACUGGGGAUCACUGUGUGCGUGUGUGCGUGUACGUACAAUAUUACUACUUUGUGGGAAUGCUCACAAUAUGGGGUCCAAAAAUGUCUGAUUAUCAUCAAUAUGUAGAUCAACUUGUAGAUUUUUAUUUUAAUAUAAAAGGCAUAGUCUGGUUGGAAAUGACACAAGAAAGUGACAUGUUGAUGUGAAUACAGUGAUGCAUUCAAAUACAAGUGACCCGACUUAAAACGCUUUUCAAGCUACGAGAUGUCGUUUAUCAGAUUUUUUUGGCUUUGAAGUGCGAGCAAAAAUUCAAGAAUACGACGAGCACUGAAUGGUGGCGGUGAACUCAACGCACUUCACAAAGAGCAGCAGUUUGGCACAUCGUGAGCAAUUCUUCAAAAAAGAGGCUUCAAGCUGUUUAUUGCCAUUCGCAGUUAAAAGUUGAUUGUCAAAUUAAACAUAUGGAGUAUUAUUGUUCUUAUUAAAAAAGCAGAAUUGUUAAUUUCUUUGGGAGGGAGUUUGGAACAGAUUAUUGGCAUUUCCAAUCAUUUCAGUGAGGAAAAAUGAAUUGUGAUAAGAGUGUUGUGAGUUAUGACACCAGUUGGACACUUAGAAAUUCACCAAUUCAAAAUUUUUGAAGUAUACUGUAUGAAUUUUACCUUUUAGGCUUAUCUAUAUCCAUUUCCUAUGCAUAACAUUUAUCUCUACAUUUAAGAGUUUUACUUGUGAUCAGAUAUCUAUGUCUUUGUCUUGAUGUAGUGAAGCAGCAUUUGGCUCAUUGCCAAAAGUUAUUUUCACAUUCCCUGUUCUAAGUAAAUGUAAACAUGAAAUGUUUAUGAUUAUUACGACGCAGCUCAUGUUUAGUUCAAGUGUGACAAUGGUUGCUGCUGUUGUCAGAGGACAUUGUAUACUGCAUUUCAGGAAUUAAGACAAAUCCUUGUUUCCCAGUGUUUAUGGCAGUAUAGAAACUAUGUGUUGCGUUUAUGUAAUUUCAUCAAACAUACUGUUUGUAAUGCGGCUGGAUGCUUUGGAAUGGGUGAGAGAUGUGGAUGGCUGGAUUAUUUCAUGUUGUGUUUUCUAUGUUAUCUUUUUCUUUUAUUUGUAUUUUUAUUUUUUUAUUUUAUUUUAAAUAUUUUGUAUUUUAUUUUCCUAUGUUUUAAAUUUUUAUUCUUCAGGAUUUUUAUGUAGGAUAUUUUUUUUCUAUAACUAUCUUUCUAUAACUGCAUUUCUUUUGUCUGUAUUUUUCUGCAACACAAAGAAAGCAUUUUUUGGUUUAUUAUCACAUCCCCUCCAUCGUGUGGGUUACUUUCCCGACCCCUCCCCGUUAAGGGAAAAGGCACAAAACAGAAAUACCCUGUUUAAAUGUACUUUAGGCAUGUUUUUAUAACAUUUACAGUACUUUGUUUAUUUAAAAAGGGGCGGCACGGUGGCCGACUGGUUAGAGCGUCAGCCUCACAGUUCUGAGGUGCGGGGUUCAAUCCCCGUACCUGCCUGUGUGGAGUUUGCAUGUUCUCCCCGUGCCUGCGUGGGUUUUCUCCGGGCACUCCGGUUUCCUCCCACAUCCCAAAACAACAUGCAUUAAUUGGAGACUCUAAAUUGCCCGUAGGCAUGGCUGAGAGUGUGAAUGGUUGUUAGUUUCUAUGUGCCCUGCGAUUGGCUGGCAACCAGUUCAGGGUGUACCCCGCCUCCUGCCCGAUGACAGCUGGGAUAGGCUCCAGCACGCCCGCGACCCUAGUGAGGAGAAGCGGCUCAGAAAAUGGAUGGAUGGAUGGAAGAUCAAUGGAUAACACCAAAGUAUUGUACAACCAAUAGUGUUGUAACACUCAAAUCCCGGUCUCCAGACCAGUUUCGAGACAACAUUUUGAAAGUCUUGGUCUUGUCUCGGUCUCGGAUUGGCCGGACUCAGGCAAGACCAGCAUUGAUUUGCUACUCUCCAACUUCAUUAAUGUGAUGAUGUGUGUGAUAAAACAGCAAAUACCUUCAAUUCAUGAGUUUAUAACCACCCACCACACCACAACCUUCCUCAACCGCAAAGACUUAAUAUGUAAAAAAAAAAAAACAUGCUACAUUUUAUAUAAUGUUAUUUAAUAGCACAUCUGCCUCACAGUUCUGGGGACGGGGGUUCAAAUCCCGGCCCUGCCUGUGUGGAAUUUGCAUAGUCUCCCCGUGCCUGCGUGGGUUUUCUCCGGGCACUCCAGUUUCCUCUCACAUCCCAAAAACAUGCGUGAUAGGUUGAUUGAAGACUCUAAAUUGCCCGUAGGUGUGAAUGUGAGUGCGAAUGGUUGGUUGUUUGCGAAUGGUUGGUUGUUUCUAUGUGCCCUGCGAUUGGCUGGCGACCGGUUCAGGGUAUACCCCGCCUCCCGCCCGAAGAUAGCUGGGAUAGGCUCCGGCAGCCCGUGAUCCUAGUGAGGAUAAGCGGUAAAAGAAGAUAGAUGGAUGGAUGGAUGGAUGUUAUUUAAUAUUUAAUUGUUCAUACCAUUUUCUAUUUUGUAUUUAUCAUGUUUUUUAUUUAGUGUAUUUUGUAUUUUUUGCUAAUUUAUUUUAAUUCUGCAUUUUAAUUCAAUUUAGCUUUUUGUAUUUUUCAAUUUAAAUUAUUUAUGCAAUGUUAUUUAAUGUGUAAUUAUAUUUCAUAUUUUCACUUUUAUUUUUUAUUGUAUUGGAUGUUGUUUUUGUAUUUUUCUUCAAUUUCAUUACAUCAUUUUUGUAAAUUUUGUCUUUCAAAUGUAUUUCUCUUAUUCUACAUUAGGCCUAUGCAUUAUUUAAUGUUUUUAUGCUUUUAUUUGCAUUUUUCUUUUUUUUAACAAAAACAAAUUUGGUGUGGCUCAGGUGGUAAAAUGGUCGACUCCCAACCCGACAGUUGUCGGGUCGAUCCUGAGCCCCAUGUGACCAAGAUAUUGAACCCCCAGUUGCUUCUUUUGUUGUCAUCAGUAGGUGAAUGUGGACAGUGUUAAAAGCUUCGAAAGUAGAAAAGUACUAUAAAAGUGAAAGCCCUUUGAGCAUUUCCCACGUAAAUGUAAAUGCAAGGAUAAGGACUUGUGUGUGUGUGUGUAGAACAGCAAGGUCAUUAGUGUAGCAGACAUGUCUGAGCAGGAAGGUACUGAAGUGAAGUCUUUGUGUAAAUGAAAUUACUCCACAAGAGAUGCACACUAAAUGAAUUAGGCUUUAACCUCAUAGUUGUUAUUUUUAUACUAGAGGAGAUGUCAUACAUUCACAAGGCACAUUUUAAUCUUGUAAAUGAAAAGAAAAAUCUGCCCAACCCAAUGUAGAGUAUUUAUUGAAAAGGGUUAAGAAUUUGUCAAAAUGGGAAAAAAAUGGUACCUUUACCUUUUAAAAAAAGAAAGAAAAGAAAGCAUGAUUGAUCAGACAAAACAAUUCUUUAUUUUUUGAUGGGAUUCCAAUUAAACUAUAAGGCAUGUGAGAAUAGCACAAUCAUUAAACAAAACAACAAAGAAAAUAAUGAGAUGAUCCUUAUUCAGUCACCAAUAUUUAAAAAAAAAAAAAAGGGCAAUAUUUCACAAAUUCUGCUAAGGUACUGCAUGUUAACCUACAGUAUGAGCAAAACUGUACAUUUGUAAUAGUCUCUUGCA